AUUGAACGCUGGCGGCAUGCUUUACACAUGCAAGUCGAACGGUAACAGGCCUUCGGGUGCUGACGAGUGGCGAACGGGUGAGUAAUGCAUCGGAACGUACCCAGAGGUGGGGGAUAACGCAGCGAAAGCUGUGCUAAUACCGCAUGUGAUCUGAGGAUGAAAGCGGGGGACCGAGCAGCAAUGUUUGGCCUCGCGCCUUUGGAGCGGCCGAUGUCGGAUUAGCUAGUUGGUGGGGUAAAGGCCUACCAAGGCGACGAUCCGUAGCUGGUCUGAGAGGACGCCCGGCAACACUGGGACUGAGACACGGCCCAGCCCCCGACGGGAGGCAGAAGGGGGGAAUUUGGGACAAGGGGCGCAAGCCUGACCCAGCAAUGCCGCGGGAGGAAAGAAGGCCUUCGGUUUUUAACCCGUUUUGGCCAGGAACGAAAGGUUGUCCCCAAAUCCCGGGGGUUAAUGACGGUCCCUGAAGAAUAAGCACCGGCUAACUACGUG
This 492-nucleotide ribosomal RNA is filed under the name uncultured bacterium. RNAcentral's name for it is "partial 16S ribosomal RNA". It matches the Rfam family "Bacterial small subunit ribosomal RNA", at positions 29 to 507 of the family's 1533-position model. The record is from RNAcentral.